RNAcentral lists this ribosomal RNA (274 nucleotides) under uncultured bacterium. RNAcentral describes it as "partial 16S ribosomal RNA". It matches the Rfam family "Bacterial small subunit ribosomal RNA", at positions 355 to 627 of the family's 1533-position model. The record is from RNAcentral.
UAGGGAAUCUUCCACAAUGGACGCAAGUCUGAUGGAGCAACGCCGCAUGAGUGAAGAAGGUUUUCGGACCGUAAAGCUCUGUUGUUGGUGAAGAAGGAUAGAGGUAGUAACUGGCCUUUAUUUGACGGUAAUCAACCAGAAAGUCACGGCUAACUACGUGCCAGCAGCCGCGGUAAUACGUAGGUGGCAAGCGUUGUCCGGAUUUAUUGGGCGUAAAGCGAGCGCAGGCGGAAGAAUAAGUCUGAUGUGAAAGCCCCGUACGAGAUUACGCAUG